This 303-nucleotide long non-coding RNA is filed under the name Homo sapiens (human). RNAcentral's name for it is "non-protein coding lnc-COPS8-3:6". Lineage: Eukaryota; Metazoa; Chordata; Mammalia; Primates; Hominidae. The record is from RNAcentral.
GUGUGUAAGGUAUGUGGUGUGUGACAUAUGUGUGAUACGUGUGUGGCAUCUGUGUAAGGUAUGUGUGGUGUGUGGUGUGUGUAUGUGUGUGGCAUGUGUGUAAGGUAUGUGUGUCUUGUGUGUGAUGUGUGUGUAAUACGUGUGUGUAAGGUGUGUGUGAUGUGUGUGAUACAUGUGUGUAAGGUGUGUAUGGUGUGUGAUGUAUGUGUGAUAUGUGUGUGGCAUGUGUGUAAGGUAUGUGUGUCAUGUGUGAUGUGUGUGAGAUACGUGUGUGUAAGGUAUGUGUGUCGUGUGUGAUGUGUA